GAUGAACGCUGGCGGCGUGCCUAAUACAUGCAAGUCGAGCGAACGGACGAGAAGCUUGCUUCUCUGAUGUUAGCGGCGCGCGGGUGAGUAACACGUGGAUAACCUCCCUAUAAGACUGGUAUAACUUCGGGAAACCGGAGCUAAUACCGGAUAAUAUUUUGAACCGCAUGGUUCAAAGGUGAAAUACGGCCUUGCGGGCACGUCUCGAGGGAUCCGCGCUGCAUUAGCUAGUUGGUAAGUUAACGGCUUACCAAGGCAACGAGGCAUGGACGAAGUGAGAGAGUGAUAGCCGACCCUAGAACUGAGACGGCGACCAUAGGCCUACGGGAGGCAGCAGAAGGCAACCUUACGCAACGGGCGAAAGCAUGACGGAGCGACGCCGCGUGAGUGAUGAAGGUCUUCGGAUCGUAAAGACCUGUUAUUAGGGAAGAACAUAUGUGUAAGUAACUGUGCCCAUCUUGACGGUACCUAAUCAGAAAGCAACGGCUAACUACGUG
Molecule: ribosomal RNA, 497 nt
Filed under: uncultured bacterium
Lineage: Bacteria
Description: partial 16S ribosomal RNA
Rfam family: Bacterial small subunit ribosomal RNA
Source: RNAcentral